GUCUACGGCCAUACCACCCUGAACACGCCCGGUCUCGUCUGAUCUCAGAAGCUAAGCAGGGUCGGGCCUGGUUAGUACUUGGAUGGGAGAAUUACAAGCAUGCUAGAUG
RNAcentral lists this ribosomal RNA (109 nucleotides) under Microcebus murinus (gray mouse lemur). Lineage: Eukaryota; Metazoa; Chordata; Mammalia; Primates; Cheirogaleidae. The record is from RNAcentral.